RNAcentral lists this ribosomal RNA (216 nucleotides) under uncultured Staphylococcus sp. Its description in RNAcentral is "partial 16S ribosomal RNA". It matches the Rfam family "Bacterial small subunit ribosomal RNA", at positions 124 to 334 of the family's 1533-position model. The record is from RNAcentral. Lineage: Bacteria; Bacillati; Bacillota; Bacilli; Caryophanales; Staphylococcaceae.
ACCCACCUAUAAGACUGGGAUAACUUCGGGAAACCGGAGCUAAUACCGGAUAAUAUAUUGAACCGCAUGGUUCAAUAGUGAAAGACGGUUUUGCUGUCACUUAUAGAUGGAUCCGCGCCGCAUUAGCUAGUUGGUAAGGUAACGGCUUACCAAGGCAACGAUGCGUAGCCGACCUGAGAGGGUGAUCGGCCACACUGGAACUGAGACACGGUCCAG